AUUAUUAAUAUAAAAUAUUUUUAAUAAUGUAUUAUACUAUUACUUUAAAUUUAUUAAAACAAGCUAUUUAAAUUAACUUGUAUCAUGGCUUAGCCAACUCCAUCCAUGAUGUAAAAAUAUUUGAAGUUUAAAAAAAAAAAAAAAAACUCUUUCCUCCUAAUAACAAGGUGAGCAGAGAGUUUUGGAUGAUAUACCUACUAUUCUUAAAUUGUUGCUGAAAUGUGAAAUAGUUAAUUCUUUCCUGAUUUAGUUUAUUUUAUACCUAUCAUACAAGUGUUUAGCAUCUUUUAAAAUUCAAAAAUAUUUUUUUCUCUCAAAAAUCGCACAAUGUUUUACUCUGAAAUUAAAUUAGAAAAAGAAUAAAAAAAUCAAACAUAAAAAAGAAAAAAAAAACCCAAAGACGACAUAUAAUUACCUUCAAUAUGUAUCGGCCCUUUUAAAUUGUUGAAACUUAAAUACAAAGACUUCAAAUUUGAGAGCGGAGAAAGGGAUGAAAAUACGCUGCUAUUCAAUAGAUUUUCACUUAUACCAAGCACUUCAAGUUUGUUCAAUCUCAACUGUUCUUUAUCUGAAAAAAGAUAAUGUAAUAAUUCAAUUAUGCAUGUAUAUAUAUAUAUAAUGAAUAAAGUAAAGUAAAUACCGUAGGAAGAAAAUCCAAGGCUCUCAAUUUGAUUUGAGCCUAAGUACAACUCCUUCAAGUUGAUAAAACUAUUGAAUUCUGUCCACAUCCAAUUAAAAUGUAUUAGUCAAUUAAAUUAUUUAAAAAGCAUCUAAUCAAGAAGCAUGAGAUUAGAAAAGAAAGCAUGCCUAGCAUAUCAAUACUUCCCACCAAUCCACAAUCCUGCAAUCUCAAUGAUUUUAAAGAGCUAAAAUCAUUUAGUUGGGAUGAAAUGUUUGCUAUAUAAUUGUGGUGAGAUAAAUCCAAAAUCUCCAAAUUCUUCAAUUUUGAUAACCUCUUUAAACCUGCUAUCAAUGAUUUUAAACAACGUUAGUAAUUGUAAUAAGUGAUAAAUUUUCUUUAAACUUAGGCUUAGAUGUUUCGUAUAUAUAAUUAAAUAAUAAUUUUACCGUCAAUAGGAUUUGAUCCUAUGAAAUUGUUGCCUGCUAGAUUCAAAGACUUGAGCGAUGAAAGUUUACUUAAGGAUGUUAAAAUGCUAUCGUUGAAAUAAUUGUCACUUAAGUCGAGGAUUUCUAACUUAUUCAAUUUCGAUGAUAGUUUUUCAAAACCUACAAGAAAUAAGGAAUUAGACUAAAUUUAGAUAAACAAAUGAUUGAAACGUGUGUGUGUCAAAACUUAUUAUUGAAAGUGAAUGAACCUUGGUUGUCCACAAAACCAACAAUGGAAUUCCCACUCAAAAAAAGACUUUGCAAUUCCUCAAAAGGAAGAAACAAAGAAGUGUUGAGAUACCAAUAUUCGUUGUUUCCUGUUCUUCUGUCAUAUGAGUCAUAUGAAUAAACUAAAUCAUAGGAGGUUGGAGGAGUGUACGUAAGAUUAAGGAAAAGAUGGGUGACACGUCCAGUGAUUGAGCUACACUCAAUAUUUUCCCAUUCACAACAAUCUGAUGAAGUCUCUUUUUCUUCGAUAAUUGGGUCGGACAUUAAACCAUCAAUUCUAGAAUCAAUGGAAGGAAAGAAAGGUUUGAGUUGGAAGAGAGCUAACCUUUCUUCCUCCAAGCACCCCUCAUUACGCCACCCUUCUCCUAACAUUAUUAACGCUACCACUACCAUCUUCAACCAUUUCCAGUACUCCAUCUGCUCACUUAAAAAGAUGCUAUAAUUAAUCACUCUUGGUGCUUUUGUAGCCAAAACUGCAAACUUGGGCCUUUAUAUACUACAAAUGAAGGAACCACCCCUCGUGUUUCCAUGAAAUUUACAAAUAAUUGAGGGUUCACAUUUCAUUGCUUAGAUAGAAAACAUACUUUUUCUUUUCUUUUCCUCGUUAUUAAUAUUUUCCUAGCAUCAUCAUAUAUUUCCUCUCUUUUCAUUUCAAUAUAACUAAAAUGUUAAUAAAAAGACUUUUGUUUCUUAAGUUUUGUGGCUGAUUUGUUGAUAAUAUUUUCCGCAACAAAAUUUGAUUUUCUUGUUUCUUCAUUCAUUAGACUUAACAAAAAGAAUUGAAUGACUUUAGUUUAAUUUAAGUUAUAAAAAUUAACGAGUAGUUUGGCUUGAUAAUGUAAGGAAAAAUAUUGGAUGUAAAAUCUUAAUUACCAUAAUUAAUGUCUUAAAAGUAGUGGUUGAUGUAUUUACACAUUUGUCUGUAUUAUUAGUUAAAUGAUGGCGUACCAAUCAUGAAUUUAAUCCCACUCUUGCCCUUGCCAAAUUUUAAUAACUUCCUCAUUGAUGUUUUACUGAAAGAAAGAAAAGUUGUGAAUAUGAUAUCAUGAAAUUUAAUGUUUUUUAUUCAAAGAAUUGUAUACAGUAAAAUUUGAGUUGAUGAAUAUUUGUAAACUGUAAACUUGAUUCUCAUGAAGUUCCGUUUGGAAGGGGAGAACAUAGACUUUUGUUUUGGGAUUGAUGAUAUAAAGAUGCAAGCUAGCAAGAAUUAAUGGUUGGAUGUUGUUGCCCCAGCAUUACGCCUACUUCUGGAGAAGACUUUGGAUUAAUGAGAAGACUUUGAAUUGAUUUCCAUUGAUAGAUGGAAUUAUUGAGGAGACUUUGACUUUGCUUAUACCCAUACCCAUACCCAUACGGCAUAAGUAAUAUCUCUUUAUGGAUUUGAUGCCUUUUUAUCAUGCUUUUUAGUUUCCUUUAAAAAUGGUUGAUAUGACUUAUUUUCAGAAUUCUAUGAUUUUUUAUAAAAAAAAAUUAAAAUUUUAUUUAGUUAUUAAAAUUUCUAAAAAGUAUAGUUUCAGAAAGAAAAUGUUCUGAAUUGUUUAUAAUUUUGUUAAAAAUAAAUUUGAUAUCUCUUUGACUGGUGUUGUACUUAAAGAAAAGUAGUGUAUACUAUAAAUUCCCACCGAUGAAUAUUUAUAAAUUGGAUUAAAAUGGAAGGAUGAAAUCCACUUGAUUCUCAUAAAAUUAACAUUUUCUUUCAUUAAAUUUUGAAGCAUUGAAGUAGAUAUUACUAUAUGAUUACUUUAAACAGUGAUUUUAAUCCACUGUUUGCAAAAUCAUUAAAAUAUUUGUCAAUAUAUAUAAAUAAUAACUUUUAAAAAAAUAAAUAUAUUCAUAUUUAAUAUUUUAAAUUCAUUCGAUAGAAGUGAUAUGCAGCUUGCCCAUGAAGUUUCCUUUGGAAAGUGAGAAUGUAGACAUUUGAAUUGAUAGAAUGAAAGUGUUGAAACCUUGACUUUGGUGCACACUACAGCCAUUAGAUGGAUAAUUCCUACUUCUAAUCAUAAUUCUGGGUGUUUAAAUUCAUGCCAUCCUAGUUGUCAAUACUUAUUUUUUUAAUUUUAGAAUUUUAUUUAAUUAACAUUCUAAUUACUUUUCUAAAUUUUUAAGGUCCUUUUAUCACUAAAUUUAUUGAUUUUACCAUUAAAUGAGACAUUAAAUCUUGCAUGAUAUAUCUUAAAAUGAAAAUUUUAAAGAAAAAUAAAUGUUGUAAAAAUCUUGGUUUUGAGGUUUUCAAAAUUUUUACGGAAGCUUUAGCUCUUAUUCCAAUUUUACUUUAUUUUUUUUAGUUUUAAUUUUAGAAGUUAUAUGGCAAUGUUUUAUUUUUUAUUUAAAAUUGUUAUUUAAAAUUAUGUUACAUAAGAUUCAACAUGUCAUUUAAUGGUUUAACGGUUCAUUUAUUGGUGUCAAUAAUAGAAGAACCUAAUUGAUAGUUUAGGUAUGUAAUUAUAACAUUUUGAAAUUUUGAUACUAAUUUAGAAUGAUAAUCAUAGUUGAGGAUGUUGAAUGCAAUUAACCCUAUACUUUUUGGUGUUGGUGUCACAGUUUGAUAGAUGGAAUUAUGGACGAGACUUUGACUCUGCUUAUAGCCGUAGCCAUAGGGCAUAAAUUUCCCUGUCAAAAUUAACAUAUGUAUUUUAAUUGAUUCAGUAGUAGGACCACUAGUGAAGCCAACCACUGAAUAGUGAUCUUUUUAGAUAAGAUGCUUACCGUGUUUUUCUGUUCUUGCUCCACGAAUGGUUUAUGUUCUUCCGACAUCAAAAUAAUUUUAUUACUGUACUAACAUAUUAUUUUAUAAUUUUUAAAGACUUUCAUCAUUAUAUUAACAUAUUAUUUUAUUAUUUUCAAAAAGAUUAUAAAGAAUUUUAUCAUUUUAAGGGGAUAAAGUGCAACUUAACCACUAUAUUAAUUUAAAAUUUUUAAAGGGACUAAAAUGAAAAUGUUCUUUGAGGUCCUAUCCUAAAAUUGUUUUAGAAAGCUAGAGGUAAAUCAUAAAUUAAUUAUUGGAGGUAAAGCAUACUAACAUAUUAUUUUAUAAAAACUUAAGGGACUAAAUGGCUGCUUACGGAGUGUAAAACUUUUACGGCAUAUCUAGAGACACAGUCGAUACAUUUUUCUUCGAUAUACAUUUAUUUACAUAAUUAGACUUCUCAAAAAAAUUGAAAGGAGUAAAAAAAAAAUUCACUUUCGAAUUAACUCAAAUUGCUAUAAAAAUCUCAUUAUAAAAAUAAUGUUAUAAAUAAUAGUACACCUUUUCGUAAAAUGCUAUAACAAUAUAUAUGGUUACUUUAAACAGUGGUUUUAAUUCACUUUUAGCAAAAUUAUUAAAAUAUUUGUGCACCAUAUAUAUGAAAUCUGGUCCUUGAAAUAUAUAAAAUUAAAUAUCUCUAUUAAAAAAAAUAUAUGUAGAGAUCUCUAUAAAGUUUGGUUUGAAAUAGGAAGCCUAUAUACUUUUUAUUUUGAUAGAUGGAAUUUUAUAGAGGAGACCCUGUAAGUCUUAGGAGUGAAGUUUAAAAACAUUAUAACUUAUUGAUUCGAUAACGAGAGUUAUUAAAUUUAAAUCCUCCUAAAACAAAGUCUUCAAUGAUGGGAAUAAAAAGUAAAAAAUAAAUGGUGAAUAGAUUAAUUUAUGUCAUAUUAUUUUUUUAUAUUCUUUUACAAAUGUUUUAAUAUCAAUUAGAUUUUUUUAUUAUCACUAUAUUUUAAUCAUCAAAAUAAUAAACAUAUGUUAAUUAGCUAUUAUUUUGAAUAAUGUUUUUUUGUAAAUUACAUGGUGUAUUGAUUAAAUUAAAAAAACUUUAAUUAUGAUUUCAAAAUUAUUUGUAUAAUAUUUAAUUUUUAAAUAAGUUAAUAUAUUUUAAUUAUAUUCAACAGUUUUGUAUAAGAAAUAUUAUUUUACAAUAAUUAAAAAUAUAAUAUUAAAAAAACUAACUAAAAAUUAAAUAUCUAAAAUCACAUUCAACAUAUGUGCCAUUAGAAACCAGUAUUUAUGCAAAUUAAUCUUAAGCAUUAAGAUAGGUAAAAAAAAUAGUAACUUACUGAUUUGGGAAUGGGAGUCAAUUAAAUUAACUCCGCCCAAGAAAAGAGUCUUCAAUGAUGAGAAUAAAUCCAAUGAUUGUAGUUGAAGAUUGCAACCUGAGCCUAUCAAAUAGUAUAUUUAUAUUUAUUUUAUUUCUUUGGAAUAUAUCAAAUUAAUCAAACUAACAAGUAAUUAGUACAUUUAAAUUAAAUUUGGAAUUAGUACCAAUAUUUGAAUCGCAUCUCAUAUCGAGGUCCUCCAAAUUGCUCAAGCCAUCUAAUUCUGAGGAGAAUCAAAAAUUGAAAAGUAAAUACUUUAUUAAUAUAUGUAGACGUCAUUGAAUAAGGAGAAAGAGGAUGAUAUUCAACAGUUUUGUAUAAGAAAUAUUAUUUUACAAUAAUUAAAAAUAUAAUAUUAAAAAAAAACUAAAAAUUAAAUGUCUAAAAUCACAUUCAACAUAUGUGCCAUUAGAAACCAGUAUUUAUAUAAAUUAAUAUUAAGAAUUAAGAUACGUAAAAAAAAUAGUAACUUACUGAUUUGGGAAUGAGAGUCAAUUAAAUUAACUCCUCUCAAGAAAAGAGUCUUCAAUGAUGAGAAUAAAUCUAAUGAUUGUAGUUGAAGAUUGCAACCUGAGCCUAUCAAAUAGUAUAUUUAUAUUUACUUUAUUUCUUUGGAAUAUAUCAAAUUAAUCAAACUAACAAGUAAUUAGUACAUUUAAAUUAAAUUUGGAAUUAGUACCAAUAUUUGAAUCGCAGCUCAUAUGGAGGUCCUCCAAAUUGCUCAAGCCAUCUAAUUCUGAGGAGAAUCAAAAAUUGAAAAGUAAAUACUUUAUUAAUAUAUGUAGACGUCAUUGAAUAAGGAGAAAGAGGAUGAUAUUCAACAGUUUUGUAUAAGAAAUAUUAUUUUACAAUAAUUAAAAAUAUAAUAUUAAAAAAAUAACUAAAAAUUAAAUGUCUAAAAUCACAUUCAACAUAUGUGCCGUUAGAAACCAGUAUUUAUGUAAAUUAAUAUUAAGAAUUAAGAUACGUAAAAAAAAUAGUAACUUACUGAUUUGAGAAUGAGAAUCAAUUAAAUUAACUCCGUCCAAGGAAAGAGUCUUCAAUGAUGAGAAUAAAUCCAAUGAUUGUAGUUGAAGAUUGCAACCUGAGCCUAUCAAAUAGUAUACUUAUAUUUACUUUAUUUCUUUGGAAUAUAUCAAAUUAAUCAAACUAACAAGUAAUUAGUACAUUUAAAUUAAAUUUGGAAUUAGCCACAAUUUUAUUUUAGUAGUACCAAUUGAAUCGCAGCUCAUAUCGAGGUCCUCCAAAUUGCUCAAGCCAUCUAAUUAUGAGGAGAAUCAAAAAUUGAAAAGUAAAUACUUUAUUAAUAUAUGUAGACGUCAUUGAAUAAGGAGAAAGAGGAUGAUAAUUUUACCUUUAAUAUCUAUUGUUCCUUCCAAAUUGGAGCCUCCUAAAGACAAAGUCUUUAGAUUUGAGAGUGUUCCGAGAGAUGACAAUAUGGUAUUGUUGAAGAGAUUGCCAUACAAACGAAGCACUGUCAAAUUCAUCAACCUUAAACCUGCCUCAUUAUUACCAAGUAGCAUGCUCUUAAUUAUUUCACUUCCCAUUUAAUUAUACUUAAAUUACUUAAAAUGAAUAGUAAAAUAACCUAAAAAAUAACUAUUUAUGUAAAUAAUAUUGGUUAAAAAAUAACUACUUAAAUGAAUUGAAAUGAACAGUAAAAUUGAGUUAUAGAGAGUAAAUGACUGGCACCAACUUUUUUUCUAACACAAACAUUGUGUCAGAGAUUAAAAAUAAUAAUUUCUAAGGUUUCAGACACUAGAUGGAUGAUACCCAUGUAUUUUUCCCAAUCCGUAUCAUAUUGGUAAUAUAUACCAGUAUUUUAAAAAAUAGUUAUGGUGCUGACACAUUGAUAACCGUCACCCACUACAUCUGAUUAAAAAAAAAUUUUGGGUGUUGAUACACUGAUGGUCGAUACCCUUUUUACCUGAUUAAAAUUUUUUUGGACGUUAGAACACUGAUGGUCGGCACCCCCUUUAUCUGAUUAAAAAAAAUUGGGUGCUAGGAUUCUGAUGGCCAGAUAAAGGGGGUCACAACACCAAUUUUUUUUAAUCAGAUAAAUGGAUGUUGACCAUCAGUGUUUCAACACCCCAAAAAAAUCUUUUUAACCAAAUAAAGGAGGUGUCGGCCAUCAGUGUCCCAACACCUCAAUUUUUUUUAAAUCUAGUGCAGAAGUGCCAACCAUCAAUGUCCCAACACCUCAAAAAAAAAAAUUAUCUAAUAAAUUGGUGUCGACCAUUAGUACCAACACUCUAAUUUUUUUAAAUAUUGGUAUAAACGUAUACUAGUAUGACAUGAAUUGGAAAAAAAUACAUAAAUGUCGGCUAUCUAGUGUUCAAAACCCCAAAAAUUAUUUUUUAAUCCCUUACACAAUCAUCCGCCAAUAAUUGUGUUAGAAAAAAAAGUGGUGCUGAUCAUCUACUCCCCAUAAUGCAAUUAUGUAACAUAACCCUACUUCUGCUAAACUGUUUUGACUUUGAGUCGAGACCUACCUCUUUUAAGUAACUCUAAUUAAGGGUAUGUUAGAAUAGAUUAGAGGCAAAAGAUUAUAUAUAAUAUUUUAUUUAGUGAGUAUUUUAUUAUUAUUUAAGAUAAUAAUUUGUGAACCUAAAUUCUCCUGCAUAAUUUAUUAUCAUGUAGCUCAUAGAAUGGAUUAAACUAAUAGAGUGAAUUUUUUUUAAAAUAAAUUAGUAGGGUGAAUAUAUCCCUUGAAAAAAUUACAAAUAAAUUAGAAAUUUAAGUGUAAAAAAUGAAAUUACUUUAUUAAUCCAUUAAUAACACCAGCUUUGAGGCUAAAAUAUAACCGAAAUCAUUUUGGUCCCAUUUUUGUUUUAUUUAUUUGCGAAAUUGCCCCAAAUUUCUGUUUUAAGUUUAAAUUAGUCAUUUUUGUCAUUUUUUCUAUUAAAUUAGUUAAUUUCAAUAGUAUUAUUAUUAUUAUUAUUAUUAUUAUUAUUAUUAUUACAUAAAUACAUGCAUAUUUUUUUAUAAUAUAUAUGUGUAUUUUUUUAAAACUUUUGUAAAUACAUGUACAUAUUUUGUAUAUAUAUAUUAUUUUAUUUUCAUAACUUUUAUAUGCAUGUAUAUAUAUAUAUACAUUUACAUUUUAUAAUACAUAUACAUCUUCUAUAUUUUAUAAUCAAUACAAGUAUACAUGCAUCUUCUAUAUUAUAUAUAUAUGCGUACUUUUUUUUAAAAAAAUUUAUUAUAAAUAUAUAUUUCAUUCAUUUUUUAUAUAUAUGUAUACUUAUAUAUACAUAUUUUGUAUAUACAUAUACAUAUAUAAUUUAUAUUAAAGUAUUUGUUUCAUGUUCUAUAUUAACAUUUUAUCACAUUUUUAAGGAAAAUAUAUUUGGAUUCAUCAAAGCAUUAAAACCGUUUUUUUUUUUGUUCAAAGGCUUUUAAGAUAAUGCAAUAUUCGGUAUUUGGGAUAUUCGAGAGGAUUGAGCCCUAACGUAUUGGGUUCCAAUUUUCCUUGUUAAACCUAAAAUUUUCGAGAAUUCAACAUGUUGUGUCCUAACGUAUUGGGCAUGACAUAUUGUUUUCUUAAGAUGAAGAUUUUCCUAUGAAAAAGCAAUAUUCAAAGUUUGAGGAUUUUGAGAAAUUGUACUCUAACGUAUUGGGUCUCGAUUUCUUCGUCUGACUUAAACAAUUGAAUAUCAUUUUAAAUUUCAUCGCUUGAGUUUUUUUUAAGAUCUUUUCAAACCUUUGACACCAAGACAUUAAACAAUCAAUUCGUUACCAAUUUUGGGUGUUACGAGGGUGCUAACCCUUCCUCAUGCAUAACUGACUCCCGAACCUGUUUUCUCAAAUUUCGCAAACCAAAAUUGUUUUUAAUGUGAGCCGAUCACACCUCAAUAAAGGAUCGGUGGCGACUCCAAUUUUUGUUUUUAAAGUCAACAACUAAUUUUUGUUUUCAAAAAAAUGGUUUCAACACAUAUCAUUCUCUUGCCGUUUUUUCAUAGGCAUAUAUCAUUCAUUUCAGAUCAAUACCAAUAAUAAUUCAUUUCUCAAUAUUUACAAUUUUUAUUUCGUUUUCGUUUGGUAACAUCAUAUACUAUUACAUUAAGCCUUUAUUUAUCUCAUGAACAAUUAGUUCAUGCUUUCUAUUCACAUUUUCAUAUUCAAUUCACAUUUUCAAAAUUCAGUUCAAUACUAACAUAUAUACAUAUAUUAUUCAUCACCAAAUAACAUUCACUUUAAUCAAAAUUGUACAGAAUAUAGUUCAUACGAACUUGCCAGGCUAAUUUGCAGAAAUACUGUAACUAUGUAUCAACUUAUCAACAUGAGUUAAUUCAUAACCAUUAAUGACAUUUCUUCAUGCCAAAUCAUAUACCAAACAUACCACACACACAUAUGCUAUGAAACUUUAUUUCCCCACAUGAGCUUAAACCAUGACCAAUAAUGCACAAAUAUAAGCAUCAUUUCUAUUUCAACGUUUGUCGAUUAUAAUCGAACAUAUGACCAAUUAUACACAAUUCAUUCAUAUAUUUAUCCAAUUUUCCUCCUCCUCCUCUCGAUUCCAUAUCCUUAAUGUAUAUAACAUGCUUAAACAAAAGUAACUAUAUUUUCACUUUUUUACUUAUAUUUAAAUUCAAAGUUGUCUAUCCAAGUUAGAGUCACUAAAUUAUUUAUAUCUUAAGCUACGGAGCUCCAAAUUAAUUCGUUAAUUUUCCCAUAAACUAGACUCAUAUAUCUUCUUACCAUAAAAUUUUUAGAAUUUUUGACUUAGCCAAUUUUGACUUAGCCAAUAAGUACAGUUUAUUCUUUAAAGUAUCUCCUAUUUCACUGUUUGGCAGUUCUAACCUCCCUUCACUAAAAAUUAAUUAUCUCAUUAUACAGAGUUUGGAUGACGUUCUUAUUUGUUUCUCUUGAAAAUAGACUCAUAAAAUAUAACUCAUAAUUAUUUUUUUACAAUUUUUAAUGAUUUUCCGAAGUCAAAAUAGGGGAUUUAAAAAUCAUCCUAACCCUGUCUCACUAAAAUUUAAAUAUCUCAAAAUAUAUAACUCUUUUGCAUACUCUAUUUCUUUUAUGUGAAAAUAGACUCAUUUAGCUUUAAUUUCAUAUAUUAUUCAGCCUUUAAUUCAAUUUCCACAAUUUUUUGUGAUUUUUCAAAUUCAUACAACUGUUGCUAUCUAAAACUGUUUUGUUGCUAAAUUUACUCUUUCACAAUUUCACUUAUUCCAUUUCAUCUUACCAAUGGUUUGAUCAAAUAUCGAGCACAUUGUUCAUAAAUUUUCACACUUAUACCUACACUCAUUUAUCACAUAGUCACAUUCAAUUAUACUUAGUUGUUACAUGAUCUCAUGUAUUUUCACUUGGACAAUUUCCCGAUGAAUAUUUCGGAAUAAUAACAGAUACACGGUGGAUCAGCACAUAGCACCACCCUUAUAGUCAAUGAUACUCGGUGGAAUCAACACAUAGCAACCACCUUUAUAAUCAAUGGUAUGUAAUUAUAACAUUUUGGAAUUUAAAGACUAAUUUAGAAUGAUAAUUUUUUUAAAAAUAAAUAUAUUCAUAUUUAAUAUUUUAAAUCCAUUCGAUAGAAGUGAUGUGCAGCUUGCCCAUGAAGUUUCCUUUGGAAAGUGAGAAUGUAGACAUUUGAAUUGAUAGAAUGAAAGUGUUGAAACCUUGACAUUGGUGCACAGCCAUUAGAUGUGCCAUCCUAGUUGUCAAUUAAACUAAGGUUGAAUUAAAAGUUUUUGGUAUGUUAUUGAAGAAUAGUUUACAAUAUUUAUUACACUUAUUUUUUUAAUUUUAGAAUUUUAUUUAAUUAACAUUCCUAUUACUUUUCUAAAUUUUUAAGGUCCUUUUAUCACUAAAUUUAUUGAUUUUACCAUUUCUAAAUUGUUGUUUUAAAUUAUGUUACAUAAUAUUCAACAUGUCAUUUAACGGUUUAAUGGUUCAUUUACUGGUGUCAAUAAUAGAAGAACCUAAUUGACAGUUUAGGUAUGUAAUUAUAACAUUUUGAAAUUUAGAGACUAAUUUAAAAUGAUAAUCAUAGUUGAGGAUGUUGAAUGCAAUUAACCCUAUACUUUUUAGAUGUUGUCAUUUUAUUUUGUUUUGGCAUUGGUGUCAUAGUUUGAUAGAUGGAAUUAUCGACGAGACUUUGACUCUGCUUAUAGCCGUAGCCAUAGGGCAUAAAUUUCCCUGCCAAAAAUUUCCAUAUAUACAUAUAUUAGUGAAGGAAAAUAAGAGAAAGUGAUGGGAAAUAUUAUAGAGAAAGGGAAUAAGAGUGUUAUAAAUUUAGUAUUCAAUAUUUUGCACUAAAAUAGUUUUGGACAGCAGCAGUAGGUUAAUUUGAAAAAUCACCAUAAAUUGUGAAAAUCGAAUUAGAGGAUGAAUAAAACAUUAAAUUAAAUCUUAUUGAGUCUAGUUUCUCAUAUAAGAAACAGUGUAAGCAAUGGAAUUGUAAAUCAUGAGAUAUAAUAAAUUUUGUGAGACAAGGUCAGAAUGAAUUCUGGUUCCCCUGUUUUGACUUUGGAAAAUAAUAAAAAAUUGAAUAAAAAUAAUUAGGGGCAUAAAUUUAUAGUUUUAAAAUUAUGUAUAAGUCUAUGUUCAAGAGAAAUAAAUGGGAAUAUCAUCCGAAUCCCGUACGAGGAGAUAAUUAAUUUUUAGUGAAGAAGGGUCGAAACUGUCAGACAGCAGAACAUGGGUGACUUUAAAGAAUAAACUGUAGUUAUUGGCUAAACCAAAAAUUCUGAAAAUUUUAUGGUAAGAAGAUAAUCGAGUCUAGUUUCAGAGAAAAUUAGAAGAUCCUAAUUUGGAGUUCUGUAGCUCAAGAUAAAAAUGAUUUAAUGACUAUGACACGGAUGGACAACUUUGAAUAAAUUUAUAAGUAAAUAGUGAAAUCAUAGAUAAUGUUACUUUUAAGCAUGUUAUAUAAAUUAAGGAUGUGGAACGGAGAGGAGGAGGAGGAAAAUAAAUAUAUAAAUAUUCUUUUAGCAUGGAUUUGCAUUAAAAAUAGUUAAUUUGCAUGAUUUGGUCUCAAGGACUAAAUUGAAUAAAAAGUAAAACUUUAGGGACAAUUUUGUAAAAAUAUAAUUUUUUAUUUAGUGAGUAUUUUAUUAUUAUUUAAGAUAAUAAUUUGUGAACCUAAAUUCGACUGCAUAAUUUAUUAUCACAUGUAGCUCAUAGAAUGGAUCAAACUAAUAGAGUGAAUUUUCUUUAAAAAUAAAUUAGUAGGGUGAAUAUAUUCCUUGAAAAAAUUUCAAAUAAAUUAGAAAUUUAAUUGUAAAAAAAUGAAAUUACUUUAUUAAUCCAUUAAUAACUCCAGCUUUGAGGCUAAAAUAUAACCGAAAUCGUUAAACUCAAAAUUCAAUAUCCCGUUAGAAAAUGAAAGUUUAAAAGUAAAAAAAGAUGCACAAAAUUUGACGGUUGAAUUGUAGGGGAUUAAUCCUUUAUUAUCCCCCGCUCAAUGACAUUAGAUUUUGAGGUCAUAUCAAAUAUUAUUAAAUGCUACUUUCUUCAAUCAUCCUCCACCCAUAUGCAGAAAUUUGGAUAGCUGUUCCAUUUCUAAUGCAGAAUUAUUCAUAUUUGCCAUCAUCCUUCUUCAAGCAUUGCUAAUAUUCAGCUCUGUAAUUCAUUAGGAAUAACGUAUGGUAAGAACUAUGUUUUGACUUAGCCUUAAUUAAUUGUUAGACUACCUUUAUUUACCAAAAAGAUUAUAUCCAUAUAUUUCUAGCCAGUUUGUGUAUUUUUCAUCUUUUCAGAAUAUAAGAUAAUUUGCAAUUAUAAAGCAAAAAAGAGAAUACUGCCUUUUUAUUGAAGGAUAAUAAAUUACAAGAAUAUCAAAUAUGAGUAGAGAAAAUGUGAACUUAACAUUGCCUUACAUAUUUUCACAGUGGAGCCUUUUAGGCAGAAUAUGGUCUUCCAAAAAAUAGUAGCAGCAAUUGCUUAUUGCCCCAACAUAAUAGAACCAUGCUUGUCUCCAGUAUGGAUUAAUGUAAAGCACACAUGCAAUACUCAGGAUUGCCAUAACAUAAGACACAACGAAAGUCACAAAAAAGGAAAUCAUAUCAAUCAAACCAUUUUCAGUCGAUGCUUUUGGCAAUAAAGAUGCUGAUGGUCCUGGUGUUGAGCAGUCCUUCAAUGGUUUACCGCAUAAAAGAGGAUUUCCCACAUAUCUGCUUUCGUCAAAUGUUGCAAACUGUGCAGUCCAUGCAGGUGUACUUCCAGAUAAAUUAUUGUAUGCCACACUGAAAUAAGACAACCUAUAUAACCCCACAAGUUGUGGAGGGAUUUUCCCGCUCAAGUUGUUGUGAGAAAGAUCGAGACUCUCAAUUUGCUUCAGAUUGGAAAACGCCGGUGGGAUUGGUCCUAUCAAAUUGUUGUGAGACAAAUUCAAAGCAUAAAUAUUUCGCAAGUUUUUCACUUCGCUGGGAAUUUCACCUGUCAACUUGUUGCAAGAGAGAUCAAUUCCAGAUAAAUAUGUGAGAAGAAUUCCCUUAUAAGAGUAAGACAUGCUUUUCACUGUGAACUCUAUCGGUUCAUCAAUGAAGAAAGAACUGGGAGCUUGAGCAAUAUCAGUGACAUAACGAGCAUAUUCUUGGGAUAUUUCAUUCAGUGCUGUAAUCUUCAGGCAAGGUGGAAUUGUACCUGAAAGAUUGUUAUUGGAAAGAUUAAUCAGGCUUAACUGGCCCAAAUUGCAUAACUGAAUUGGAAUCCCACCUUCAAAAUGGUUGUUAUUUAGCAAAAGAAAACUCAAUUGAGAAAGGUUGCCAAUCCAACGUGGAAUUUUCCCAGUUAAGUGAUUAUUGCUGAGAUCUAAUGUCACCAAGCUAGUGCUGUUAUGAAAAAUAUUUGUGAGUGCCCCUUCUAGCUUGUUUCUUGAUAAAUGAACUUGACUUAUCCAUAAAGGGCUGAAACAAGAUGGAAGACUCCCAGAAAUAUUGUUCACUGAAAGGUCUAGAAGUUUAAGAUCAUUAAGAUGGCAAAACUCCUUUGGGAAUGGACCUUCAAGAUGAUUGUUUGCCAUCACAAUUUCUUCCAAAUAUGACAUACUCCCCAUCCACCUUGGUAUGUCCCCAGAAAGCUCGUUAUUGCUUAAAUCCAAUGUUGACAAACUUGACAUAUUCUCCAUCCACCUUGGUAUCUCCCCAGAAAGCACGUUAUUGCUUAAAUCCAAUGUUGACAAAAAGGAGCAAUUAGACAAGGAAUCUGGGAUCUUCCCAGAGAAAUGAUUCCCAUCUAACUGCAACUCCUGCAACUUUGUAAGGUUAACAUUUGAAGAGAACAUCUGCCCUUGCAAUUUGUUGUUGGACAGUGCAAGGGAAGUUAAUGAAAAGCAGCCCAUGGUCAAAUGCUCAGGUAGCCCACCAGACAAUUGAUUAUUGGACAAGUCCAAGGCUUCUAAGAAAUUCAUAUCACCAAUCGAAGAGGGAAUGCUACCCCGAAAUAGAUUUUUUGACAUGUUCAGAAACAACAAUGAUGGUAGUUUUUCCCCAAUAUCAAUUGGAAGAUUGCUAUAGAAUGAAUUUUCUGAGACAUCCAAAUACGAUAAGUCCGUAUGUGGAAGGAAAGGUAACUUAAAAUGACCUAGGAGAGAGCUGUUAGCAAGAACUAACCUUUCCAAAUUUGUGUUGUUAUUCAACAACCAAUUUGGAAAUCCCUCUCUAAAGUUGUUGUUAGAGAGAUAAACUUGCCUUAAGUCAUGUUGAUGGAACAAAAUAUGAGGAAAUUGUCCAACAUAUCCACAACUAGAUAAACUGAUAAGGUUCAAUUGGAAUCUUGGGGCCAAAGGUUGCAUCUCACUUUCAAUGUAUAUGGUAUUGUUGUCCGCUUUGAAAUGCUUGAGUUUUGAAAGGUUGAAGAAGGGCUCCAAUGAGCUUGGGAUUUUGAAAUAAUUGUUUGAAAGUCUCAACUCUACGAGGGAUGUUAAAGACUUAAGGGCAGAUACAUCUCCAGAUAACUGAUUGGAAGAGAGAUCUAAACUCUCAAGAGAUGUGAAAUUGUAAAAACACUCUGGCAAAGUACCCUUCAGAUUAUUGUUGCUCAUAUCCAAGAGUCUGAGAUUUGUCAAGCUACAAAAACCUGCAAACAUAACAUUAAAUAAAUAAAUAGAGUGCCAUUCAAGGGAACCAAAAACAAUAAAACAAAUUAAUUAAAUAUAAUAUAUUCUAGUUGUAUUCGUUCCUUGCCUAAAAAAAGGGAACUUAUUGUAUGGGAAAGUAGGAUACUAAAAUGUUUCGUGUUUAUUCACCUUGGGUAUGUAAGGUGCCAUUGAGUCCACAACCCAUUAAGUUUAGUUGCUUGAUAGAAGGCAUUGCACCAAUUUUGUGAAGAAAGUUGUUUUCAAGGGAAGUAUCUCCUAUGUACAUGAAUUCCAAAUUCUGCAACUCAAGUGGAUCUAUUUCAAACAAAACCAAAGUUACAGAAAUUUAUGUAGAUAUGUUCCAAAUGGGAAAAAAAAUGUAUGCAAUUCAAUAUAUAUAAAGAGAAAGAGAGAGCUCCUUUAAGUUGAGUUUAUUAUUUUAACUUUAGUACUAUUUGGAGUUUUGGGAAAAAGUUAUUAGGGAGACAAAGUAAGUCGCAAAUUAUUGAAAAUUUUAGAAAAGAAAACAAUUUAUAAAAUAUUACUAUAAAAUUAUGAAAAAAAAAGAGAGAGAAAGAAACUGAGAAAUAUUAUUCUUUUACCCUCAAUUUUCUUUUUUAUAUUUAUUGAAAAUUUUAGGAAGCACAACAAUUUUAUAAAAUUAUCAAAAAAAAAAUCACUUUCUUUCUUCUUCUUCUUCUUUUUUUAGUAGUAUUUAUUAAAAAGUUAAAUAAUUUUAUCUCUUUUUGGUCAUCACAUCCUAUCAUAAGUUUUUUAAUGCUGGGAAAUGAAUUAAAAAAAGAAGAAGCAUGAAUCAACAAAUUUUUUAUUAAUAAUUAUAAACAGUUUUGCUCUUUUUUGGGUUUAAUAAAUACUAUUUCAAAAAUAGGCUUGUCAUGAAUAAUAUAUUUAUGGGAAAAAUCAUUCUUUGUAUAAAAAGAAAUGAUAAAUUGAAAGAUACUUACCAUUCAUGAAGAGGCUGUCACUGACGUUACACCCUUCCACGACCAAUCUUUUUAAAGAAGGUAGUGCUCCAAUGAAGUUAAAAGGGAGAGAUGAUUCCCAUAAUUCCAACUCUUCUAAAUUUGUCAAAUUUUGCAUGAAUUCCAAAUUCUGCAACUCAAGUGUAUCUAUUUCAAACAAAACCAAAGUUACAGAAAUUUAUGUAGAUAUGUUCCAAAUGGAAAAAAAGAAGAAAGUGUAUGCAAUUCAAUAUAUAUAAAAAGAAAGAGAGAGAUCCUUUAAGUUGAGUUUAUUAUUUUAGCUUUAGUAUUUGGAGUUUUGGGAAAAGAUUAUUAGGGAGACAAAGUGAGUCGCAAAUUAUUGAAAAUUUUAGAAAAGAAAACAAUUUUAUAAAAUAUUACUAUAAAAUUAUGAAAAAAGAGAGAGAAAGAAACUGAGAAAUAUUAUUCUUUUACCCUCAUUUUUCUUUUUUAUAUUUAUUGAAAAUUUUAGGAAGCACAACAAUUUUAUAAAAUUAUCAAAAAAAAAAUCACUUUCUUUCUUUCUUUUUUUUUGUAGUAUUUAUUAAAAAGUUAAAUAAUUUAUUGAAUUUUCGUCAUCACAUCCUAUCAUAAGUUUUUUAAUGCUGGGAAAUGAAUUAAAAAAAGAAGAAGCAUGAAUCAACAAAUUUUUUAUUAAUAAUUAUAAACAGUUUUGCUCUUUUUUUGGGUUUAAUAAAUACUAUUUCAAAAAUAGGCUUGUCAUGAAUAAUAUAUUUAUGGGGAAAAUCAUUCUUUGUAUAAAAAGAAAUGAUAAAUUGAAAGAUACUUACCAUUCAUGAAGAGGCUGUCACUGACGUUACACCUUUCCACGACCAAUCUUUUUAAAGAAGGUAGUGCUCCAAUGAAGUUAAAAGGGAGAGAUGAUUCCCAUAAUUCCAACUCUUCUAAAUUUGUCAAAUUUUGCAUGAAUUCCAAAUUCUGCAACUCAAGUGUAUCUAUUUCAAACAAAACCAAAGUUACAGAAAUUUACGUAGAUAUGUUCCAAAUGGAAAAAAAGAAGAAAGUGUAUGCAAUUCAAUAUAUAUAAAAAGAAAGAGAGAGAUCCUUUAAGUUGAGUUUAUUAUUUUAGCUUUAGUAUUUGGAGUUUUGGGAAAAGAUUAUUAGGGAGACAAAGUGAGUCGCAAAUUAUUGAAAAUUUUAGAAAAUAAAACAAUUUUAUAAAAUAUUACUAUAAAAUUAUGAAAAAAGAGAGAGAAAGAAACUGAGAAAUAUUAUUCUUUUACCCUCAUUUUUCUUUUUUAUAUUUAUUGAAAAUUUUAGGAAGCACAACAAUUUUAUAAAAUUAUCAAAAAAAAAAUCACUUUCUUUCUUUCUUUUUUUUUGUAGUAUUUAUUAAAAAGUUAAAUAAUUUAUUGAAUUUUCGUCAUCACAUCCUAUCAUAAGUUUUUUAAUGCUGGGAAAUGAAUUAAAAAAAGAAGAAGCAUGAAUCAACAAAUUUUUUAUUAAUAAUUAUAAACAGUUUUGCUCUUUUUUUGGGUUUAAUAAAUACUAUUUCAAAAAUAGGCUUGUCAUGAAUAAUAUAUUUAUGGGGAAAAUCAUUCUUUGUAUAAAAAGAAAUGAUAAAUUGAAAGAUACUUACCAUUCAUGAAGAGGCUGUCACUGACGUUACACCCUUCCACGACCAAUCUUUUUAAAGAAGGUAGUGCUCCAAUGAAGUUAAAAGGGAGAGAUGAUUCCCAUAAUUCCAACUCUUCUAAAUUUGUCAAAUUUCGCAAUUCUGUAACCACAAGUUAAAAUCCUCACACAAUGUUAUUAUUUCAUAUUUUAAAAUCAAUCAUUUUCAUCUUUUAGCAUUAAAAAUAUUAAAGCAAUAUUAAAAAUUUAAUACCAAAUAUACUAAAAUUAACAUUGUAAUGCUAAAUUCAAUGGAAAUAGAAGAGAACUAAUAAUUUGCGUGAAUGGAAUGAUGAAGCAUGCAUAAUUAGUAGGAGAUAUUAAUUUUAAACAUGAAUCAUAAAAUAAAAUGAUUCUUAUACGAGAGAAAUUGAAAGACUCAUUUUUUAAUUGAUUAAUUGUAAGAUUGCAACAUCAACUCUUCCAAGUUUGUAAAUUAUGCAAUUUAUUCCUUGAAUAAAAAAUAUUAAAAAAAAUAUGUACACGUGUGUUUUGUGAAGGUAGAAAAUUUUAAAAUAAUGUCAACAAAAUAAAUAUUUGUGUUAGUCUUAGGAAAUAGGGUUUGUAGAAAAACAUUAUAACUUACUGAUUCAGUAACGAGAGUUAUUAAAUUUAAAUCCUCCUAAAAAAAGAGUCUUCAAUGAUGGGAAUAAAAAUAAAAAUUGAAUGGUGAAUAGAUUAAUUUAUGUCAUAUUAUUUUUUUAUAUUCUUUUACAAGUGUUUUAAUAUCAAUUAGAAUUUUUUUAUUAUCACUAUAUUUUAAUCAUCAAAAUAUUAAACAUAUGUUAAUUAGUUAUUAUUUUGAAUAAUAUUAUUUUGUAUUAAUUACAUGGAGUAAAAUUAUAUUGUGUAUUGAUUAAAUUAAAAAAACUUUAAUUAUGAUUUCAAAAUUAUUUGUAUAAUAUUUAAUUUUUAAAUAAGUUAAUAUAUUUUAAUUAUAUUCAACAGUUUUGUAUAAGAAAUAUUAUUUUACAAUAAUUAAAAAUAUAAUAUUUAAAAAAUAACUAAAAAUUAAAUGUCUAAAAUCACAUUCAACAUAUGUGCCAUUAGAAACCAGUAUUUAUGUAAAUUAAUAUUAAGAAUUAAGAUACGUAAAAAAAAUAGUAACUUACUGAUUUGGGAAUGAGAAUCAAUUAAAUUAACUCUGUCCAAGAAAAGAGUCUUCAAUGAUGAGAAUAAAUCCAAUGAUUGUAGUUGAAGAUUGCAACCUGAGCCUAUCAAAUAGUAUAUUUAUAUUUACUUUAUUUCUUUGGAAUAUAUCAAAUUAAUCAAACUAACAAGUAAUUAGUACAUUUAAAUUAAAUUUGGAAUUAGUACCAAUAUUUGAAUAGCAGCCCAUAAAGAGGUCCUCCAAAUUGCUCAAGCCAUCUAAUUAUGGGGAGAAUCAAAAAUUGAAAAGUAAAUACUUUAUUAAUAUAUGUAGACGUCAUUGAAUAAGGAGAAAGAGGAUGAUAAUUUUACCUUUAAUAUCUAUUGUUCCUUCCAAAUUGGAGCGUCCUAAAGACAAAGUCUUUAGAUUUGAGAGUGUUCCGAGAGAUGACAAUAUGGUAUUGUUGAAGAGAUUGCCAUACAAAUGAAGCACUGUCAAAUUCAUCAACCUUAAACCUGCCUCAUUAUUACCAAGUAGCAUGUUCUUAAUUAUUUCACUUCCCAUUUAAUUAUACAUUUCAAAUAUAUUUUAGUGAAUUCUUUUUCGUCCAAUCUGUAAUAUAUUUUAUAUAAUUUAAAUAUAUCUAAAAGUAUUUAUAAAUUGAAUUCAAGUAAGAUCGAAAUACAAUGGAGCAAAAAAUUUAAACCUAAAAUUAUGUAAAACUCACAUUAUCAAAUCCUUCACUCUUUGACGUCUCUUGAUGCAUUUUUAAUUAAUUUUAUUUUUUAUACCCUAAUAUUAUAUCUUUCUUAUUAUUUUAUUCAUACCACCCUCACUCUAUAGCAUAUCUUUUAUUCAUUAUUCACAAAAUUUUAACUUCAUUAAGAGCAACAAAAUUAGUUAUUUCAAAAUAAUAAUAACAAAACUAGAAAAUAAAUAAAACUCAACGUUAAAAAUAAAUUUAAAAUACCUUGUGAUGGAACAAAUUCUGUCACUUUGUUGUUCCAUAAGAUCAACUCCUCUAAAUAGCUGAAAGCAUUUAGAUCUGAAAAAAGAAUUACAAAUAAUUCUAACAAUAAGUCAAAUUCAUAGAUUUAAUGCAUUGUUGGUUGGUUAAUCUUGUUCAACUUAUCCAGAAAAGGCCACAUCUUGAACAAAUUUAUUUUUAUUUUAUAAGAUUGGUCUUGUUUGGUAUAAAUCAUUGUUUUAAUAAUAAAAGUAAAUUUAUAUUUAUAUUUUAGGGUAAAUUAUUAAUAUAAAAUAUUUUUAAUAAUGUAUUAUACUAUUACUUUAAAUUUAUUAAAACAAGCUAUUUAAAUUAACUUGUAUCAUGGCUUAGCCAACUCCAUCCAUGAUGUAAAAAUAUUUGAAGUUUAAAAAAAAAAAAAAAAAAACUCUUUCCUCCUAAUAACAAGGUGAGCAGAGAGUUUUGGAUGAUAUACCUACUAUUCUUAAAUUGUUGCUGAAAUGUGAAAUAGUUAAUUCUUUCCUGAUUUAGUUUAUUUUAUACCUAUCAUACAAGUGUUUAGCAUCUUUUAAAAUUCAAAAAUAUUUUUUUCUCUCAAAAAUC
RNAcentral lists this long non-coding RNA (20717 nucleotides) under Gossypium barbadense (sea-island cotton). Its description in RNAcentral is "long non-coding RNA (GBAR_LNC023151)". Lineage: Eukaryota; Viridiplantae; Streptophyta; Magnoliopsida; Malvales; Malvaceae. The record is from RNAcentral.